Erythranthe guttata (spotted monkey flower) is the source of this 1020-nucleotide long non-coding RNA. RefSeq lists it as uncharacterized. The record is from RefSeq and is a predicted model, not a curated record. NCBI's taxonomy places the organism in Eukaryota, Viridiplantae, Streptophyta, Magnoliopsida, Lamiales, Phrymaceae.
GUAGAAAAAUGGCCUUUUGUUACAAUUUUUUUUGCUACAAAGAAAAACUCGUUACAAAAGGUAUUUUUUACUACAAAAUACAUGUCGUAGCUAAAAGUCGUAGCAAAAGAAUAUAUAUCACUACGGCACAACAUUCGUAGCAAAUACUUAUGUGAAACGUCAUCGUUUUAUUCUUUUACUACGGAUUUUACCGUAGUAAUAGAGAUUAUUUGCUACGCUCGGUGUACGGUAAUAAAAGAUCUAAAUUUAAUAAAAUCGAAAUACCCUACCACUUAAACUGAGAAGCACAUAUCGUCGUCCCUCCCCUUCAUUUUCUUUCAAUUUCACUUUGUUCACCCACAAUCGUUGAUACCCUCACAAACUAACACUGGAAGCCAUCGUCAGCGAAUUACUUCAAGUCUAGCCACCGUCUAACGCCGAGCCACCGAAUGCCGCCUCCGCCGCCGCCGCCGCGAUCGAGAAGGUUGGUUGAAGAUUUAAGAAACAAAAGAUGCUAGCUUUUUCAGCCUAUUAAGAUUCAGAGUCGUACACUUAUUUUGCCACAGAAGGUGCCAAGAAAAUUGAGAACUACCUUACAAAUGCAAGGAGUAGAAGGAUGUGAAUAAUCUCUUUGCUUGCUAAUCGUCUACACUUUAAAGGGUCAUAUUAAGGAAGAAUAAAAGAGUUGAAAGACCAAAUUUUCAAGAAAGAUACGGGGAAAGAUAAUCACAAAAGUAUGAUUGUUAGGCAGAAACACCUAUGUGUGGUGUAUUCUUUGCACGUAAACGAGCAAGCUUGCCGCAAGAAGAUAGGGUGUUGUUGCGAAAGUUUAAAGACGAAACGAUGGAGGAAAAAAAAUGCAACAGAUGGAAGAAGAGUCUGUGAGUAGUUAGUCUUAGAGGAGAACAUGACAAUAUUAUCUCAAACUUAUGAUUUGUAUAAAUAUUCAUGGCUAGAUGUAAAUUUAAUGAUUUUAAGAUAUAGCGGGUUUUUUAUUUUUUGAUUAUUUAAUUAUAUAUGAUUUGGUAUUGAAUAUUCAGG